RNAcentral lists this ribosomal RNA (273 nucleotides) under uncultured bacterium. RNAcentral describes it as "partial 16S ribosomal RNA". It matches the Rfam family "Bacterial small subunit ribosomal RNA", at positions 523 to 796 of the family's 1533-position model. The record is from RNAcentral.
AUACGGAGGGUGCAAGCGUUAUCCGGAUUUACUGGGUUUAAGGGUACGCAGGCGGUAAUUUAAGUCAGUGGUGAAAGCCUACAGCUCAACUGUAGAACUGCCAUUGAAACUGAAUUACUUGAGUAUGGUAGAGGUAGGCGGAAUACAACAUGUAGCGGUGAAAUGCAUAGAUAUGUUGUAGAACACCGAUUGCGAAGGCAGCUUACUAAACCAUUACUGACGCUCAUGUACGAAAGCGUGGGGAGCGAACAGGAUUAGAUACCCUAGUAGUCC